GUGAAUCAUCAAAUUUUUGAACGCAAAUUGCACUCUCUGGUAUUCCGGAGAGUAUGCCUGUUUGAGGGUCAGUUUAAAUAAAAAUCGAUGUUUUGUUGCCUCUUUUCUUAGUUACGCAUCGGGUUUUGGUCGUCUUAUCUUCUGUUAAGUGACCUAAAAUUUUGCAUGAUUUUCGAACGUAUUUAAAUAAUUUACGUACUUUUGUAAUAUCUGAUAUUAUGUUGUCUCAUUCUCAUGCUUCUCAUCCAG
Molecule: unclassified non-coding RNA, 249 nt
Filed under: Glomus sp.
Lineage: Eukaryota; Fungi; Glomeromycota; Glomeromycetes; Glomerales; Glomeraceae
Description: partial contains 5.8S ribosomal RNA and internal transcribed spacer 2
Rfam family: 5.8S ribosomal RNA (bases 1-71)
Source: RNAcentral